GAUACUCUUCAGGGCGGGGUGUAAGUCCCCACCGGCGGUAAAGCCCGCGAGCCGAGAGGCAUGAUUCGGUGAAACUCCGAGGCCGACAGUAUAGUCUGGAUGAAAGAAGAUUGUG
This 115-nucleotide non-coding RNA is filed under the name Clostridium argentinense. Its description in RNAcentral is "FMN sequence". It matches the Rfam family "FMN riboswitch aptamer (RFN element)". From Rfam's summary of the family: The RFN element is a highly conserved domain that is found frequently in the 5'-untranslated regions of prokaryotic mRNAs that encode for flavin mononucleotide (FMN) biosynthesis and transport proteins. This element is a metabolite-dependent riboswitch that directly binds FMN in the absence of proteins. Lineage: Bacteria; Bacillati; Bacillota; Clostridia; Eubacteriales; Clostridiaceae. RNAcentral also lists the same sequence under 1 other name. The record is from RNAcentral.